RNAcentral lists this ribosomal RNA (670 nucleotides) under Photobacterium sp. HZBC67. Its description in RNAcentral is "bacterial SSU rRNA". It matches the Rfam family "Bacterial small subunit ribosomal RNA", at positions 407 to 1069 of the family's 1533-position model. Lineage: Bacteria; Pseudomonadati; Pseudomonadota; Gammaproteobacteria; Vibrionales; Vibrionaceae. The record is from RNAcentral.
GAAGAAGGCCUUCGGGUUGUAAAGUACUUUCAGUUGUGAGGAAGGCAGUAAAGUUAAUAGCUUUGCUGUUUGACGUUAGCAACAGAAGAAGCACCGGCUAACUCCGUGCCAGCAGCCGCGGUAAUACGGAGGGUGCGAGCGUUAAUCGGAAUUACUGGGCGUAAAGCGCAUGCAGGUGGUCUGUUAAGCAAGAUGUGAAAGCCCGGGGCUCAACCUCGGAACAGCAUUUUGAACUGGCAGACUAGAGUACUGUAGAGGGGGGUAGAAUUUCAGGUGUAGCGGUGAAAUGCGUAGAGAUCUGAAGGAAUACCGGUGGCGAAGGCGGCCCCCUGGACAGAUACUGACACUCAGAUGCGAAAGCGUGGGGAGCAAACAGGAUUAGAUACCCUGGUAGUCCACGCCGUAAACGAUGUCUACUUGGAGGUUGUGGCCUUGAGCCGUGGCUUUCGGAGCUAACGCGUUAAGUAGACCGCCUGGGGAGUACGGUCGCAAGAUUAAAACUCAAAUGAAUUGACGGGGGCCCGCACAAGCGGUGGAGCAUGUGGUUUAAUUCGAUGCAACGCGAAGAACCUUACCUACUCUUGACAUCCAAAGAAUUCGCUAGAGAUAGCUUAGUGCCUUCGGGAACUCUGAGACAGGUGCUGCAUGGCUGUCGUCAGCUCGUGUUGCG